This 253-nucleotide ribosomal RNA is filed under the name uncultured microorganism. Its description in RNAcentral is "partial 16S ribosomal RNA". It matches the Rfam family "Bacterial small subunit ribosomal RNA", at positions 524 to 776 of the family's 1533-position model. The record is from RNAcentral.
UACGUAGGUCCCGAGCGUUGUCCGGAAUUACUGGGCGUAAAGCGUACGUAGGCGGCUUGUUAAGCAAGAUGUGAAAUCCCCGGGCUCAACCUGGGAAUGGCAUUUUGAACUGGCAGGCUCGAGUUCUGAAGAGGGUGGUAGAAUUCCAGGUGUAGCGGUGAAAUGCGUAGAGAUCUGGAGGAAUACCGGUGGCGAAGGCGGCCACCUGGUCAGAAACUGACGCUGAGGUACGAAAGCGUGGGGAGCAAACAGG